UUAUUGUUUGCUAUUAGGCUAGUAGGUCGUUGUUUCACAACACGUUAUCAGCACGACAAUGCUUUCGCCAAAACCCUAAUUUCUUGUGCCGCUCCUCAAAUACCGUUUCCAUUGUCGUAUUAUGAACGGAGAAACAAGAGCAAAAGUGUUUAGGGUUUCUCCCAUCAGUUUAUGAAAGAACCUACCGUCCUGUUGUGCUCCACCUCGUUCCUCAUAUGUCAGCCAAAUGAUUCCUUUUCUCUUCCGCUGCCAAAUCUCAAUUUUAGGGUUUGUGGGCAUGUGAAUCUGGGUUGGAGAACAAGAUUCAACUGAAAUUGGAGCAAUUUUUCAUUCUACAAUACUCCCAAACAUCGAAUGAAUUAUCGCCGAAAACGGUUGUCUCUGUUGUGUAACCUGAGAUGCUUGAUCAACUCGCUCAAAGCAGGUGUUGGAGGUUUUUGCAUCAGUUGCAGGGCUCUGCUGCAAUUGUUAAUUCAUUGAUCAUCUGCUACAAUAGUUCAGUAUGAAGCCCACUGAAGAACACCCUACAAGAAUUUAUACGGAUGAUUGGUGGUUUUUGCAGCUGUUGCAAAGUUCUGCUAUUGGGGAUAUGAGGAAAGUGAAGAAAGAUAGUGAGGGUAGGUGAGGUAACGACGGAAAGGUUUCAUUGUAUCAUUUGGUUCUUGCGAUUUGGUUUGAUUUCGUCUUCGCUAUUAUCUUCGUUCUCUGAUUCAGUUGUUGGUGGUUUUUUUAUUGUGGUUGUCUGUUGGAGUGAACUAGCGAUGUUUGAGGAGGCACUAUUUGAGGAGGUUGCUCAGCAUUUUUUAAUUAUGCAAUGAACAAGCUUAAGAAGGUGGGUUUAUGGGUAAAUUCAUCUUUUCAUCUUCUUCGCUCACGGUCUACAUCGUUAUCCAAUCUACUACAUGAAUUUGUCAAAGCCGUUCCUAUCGGUGAUGCAUCUAUUCAUCAAGGUCUGUCGUGUAUCCUGUACAGUGUGCAAAGAUUCAAGGAAAAAAUUUUGCCUGCAGUGACGUUGAUGCAGCUUGAAAGUCCUAUCGUGGAAUAGUAUGUAGAGGAAAUAAGAACUGAUUUGAAGGCACUAAACAACAGGCAUCUUAAAGCAAGAAUAUUGCUGAUAAAAGCAUUAGGAAGCAGGAAGCAGGAUAAGUUAUUCGAGAAUGUGGUUGCCAAUGGAGCAGAUUAUGUAGACUGAAAUAAGUCUAAUCAGUGGAAGGAUUCAAAUCAAGUUAACUAAUAUGUUGGAGAUGUCUUGCCUAACCAGGUAAACUGCAGACAUUAAAAUAGCAAUUAUGUAAGCUCCGACCGAUUUGUACAUGAAAAUUGUCAACGACAACACCUUUAUGCGAAAAGGCCAGCCUUCAAUGAACACUUCCACACCUGAAACUGAUGUUAUUCCCCGCUUUUACUUUGAUUUAAGAGAUUAUGAAAGUCUUUCCGUCCUACGUCCUACGGAUCGUAAAAACAAUCACCAGCUCCUAGCUCCUUACAGGUUUGCAGAAACGCCAGCUUUCCAGGCCGGAAUUAAAUGAAGGCAUAUGGGCUUCAAAGGCAUAUGGACUCGUAGCUGGACCAAAGCUGGUGCAAAGUUAUUUGUGGAAAUAUGUGUUAAUAUUUUAGUUCCAUAUGUGUAGAGAUACUUUGACGUGUAUAACUUAUUGUGUAACGAUUGAUGGUUAUGCAAAGUUUAAAAAAAUUAUUAACUGUAUGGAGGUAAAUCCAUUUUUUGGUUAUA
Long non-coding RNA from Helianthus annuus (common sunflower), 1732 nucleotides. RefSeq lists it as uncharacterized. The record is from RefSeq and is a predicted model, not a curated record. Lineage: Eukaryota; Viridiplantae; Streptophyta; Magnoliopsida; Asterales; Asteraceae. The transcript is spliced from 12 exons.